GUAACUGUGCUGAGGGUCUGGGUACGAACUACCGAGGGCAUGUGAACAUCACCCGGUCAGGCAUUGAGUGCCAGCUAUGGAGGAGUCGCUACCCACAUAAGCCUGAGUGAGUGAGGGGCCGGCCUUCCCACCAUGGGCUGAGAACAGGGAGCAAGCGUACCUCAAGCCCAACAGCCUCCUGUUGGGCAAUUUCCUGUUCCAGAAUCAACUCCACUACCCAUCCCGGGGCCGACCUACAGGAGAAUUUCUGCCGCAACCCCGACAGCAGCACCACGGGACCCUGGUGCUACACUACAGACCCCACCGUGAGGAGGCAGGAAUGCAGCAUCCCUGUCUGUGGCCAGGAUCAAGUCACUGUAGCGAUGACUCCACGCUCCGAAGGCUCCAGUGUGAAUCUGUCACCUCCAUCAGAGCAGUGUGUCCCUGAUCGGGGGCAGCAGUACCAGGGGCGCCUGGCAGUGACCACACAUGGGCUCCCCUGCCUGGCCUGGGCCAGCGCACAGGCCAAGGCCCUGAGCAAGCACCAGGACUUCAACUCAGCCGUG
Molecule: small RNA, 545 nt
Filed under: Pan troglodytes (chimpanzee)
Lineage: Eukaryota; Metazoa; Chordata; Mammalia; Primates; Hominidae
Description: retained intron
Source: RNAcentral